GGAGGGAUGACCGAGCGGCCUAAGGUGACAGGCUUGAAACCUGUGGGGCAUCCGCGCCUCGGGGGUUCGAAUCCCACUCCCUCCG
Molecule: transfer RNA, 85 nt
Filed under: Acidimicrobiia bacterium
Lineage: Bacteria; Bacillati; Actinomycetota; Acidimicrobiia
Description: tRNA-Ser
Rfam family: tRNA
About the family: Transfer RNA (tRNA) molecules are approximately 80 nucleotides in length.
Source: RNAcentral